GACGAACGCUGGCGGCGUGCUUAACACAUGCAAGUCGAACGCUGAAGCUUGGUGCUUGCACUGGGUGGUUGAGUGGCGAACGGGUGAGUAAUAAGUGAGUAACCUGCCCUUGACUCUGGGAUAAGCCUGGGAAACUGGGUCUAAUACUGGAUACGACAUGUCACCGCAUGGUGGUGUGUGGAAAGGGUUUUACUGGUUUUGGAUGGGCUCACGGCCUAUCAGCUUGUUGGUGGGGUAAUGGCUCACCAAGGCGACGACGGGUAGCCGGCCUGGGAGGGUGACCGGCCACACUGGGACUGAGACACGGCCCAGACUCCUACGGGAGGCAGCAGUGGGGAAUAUUGCACAAUGGGCGGAAGCCUGAUGCAGCGACGCCGCGUGAGGGAUGACGGCCUUCGGGUUGUAAACCUCUUUCAGCACGGAAGAAGCGAAAGUGACGGUACGUGCAGAAGAAGCGCCGGCUAACUACGUG
Molecule: ribosomal RNA, 472 nt
Filed under: uncultured bacterium
Lineage: Bacteria
Description: partial 16S ribosomal RNA
Rfam family: Bacterial small subunit ribosomal RNA
Source: RNAcentral